AGUGAACGCUGGCGGUAGGCCUAACACAUGCAAGUCGAACGGCAGCACAGUAAGAGCUUGCUCUUACGGGUGGCGAGUGGCGGACGGGUGAGGAAUACAUCGGAAUCUACUUUUUCGUGGGGGAUAACGUAGGGAAACUUACGCUAAUACCGCAUACGACCUACGGGUGAAAGUAGGGGAUCUUCGGACCUUGCGCGAUUGAAUGAGCCGAUGUCGGAUUAGCUAGUUGGCGGGGUAAAGGCCCACCAAGGCGACGAUCCGUAGCUGGUCUGAGAGGAUGAUCAGCCACACUGGAACUGAGACACGGUCCAGACUCCUACGGGAGGCAGCAGUGGGGAAUAUUGGACAAUGGGCGCAAGCCUGAUCCAGCCAUACCGCGUGGGUGAAGAAGGCCUUCGGGUUGUAAAGCCCUUUUGUUGGGAAAGAAAAGCAGCAGGUUAAUACCCCGCUGUUCUGACGGUACCCAAAGAAUAAGCACCGGCGAACUUCGU
RNAcentral lists this ribosomal RNA (491 nucleotides) under uncultured bacterium. RNAcentral's name for it is "partial 16S ribosomal RNA". It matches the Rfam family "Bacterial small subunit ribosomal RNA", at positions 29 to 506 of the family's 1533-position model. The record is from RNAcentral.